GAGCUAAAGCCCCUCUAGGGGGCUCCGCUCCACUCAUAUAACCACAGUUACAAUAGGUAACUAACGUUUUGUGCUGUGUUGCUACUGUACUGGAUUUAAGGCGAUUAUGGUUUCUAAUUCUCUGAACUGCUGUACUUUUUAUGUUUGAGGAAAAUUCUGUGUUCACUUGAAUCACAACACUCGGUGAAUACAUUUUAUUUUUGACAAUUUCACUGUUCCACAUUUGGCUGAUAAUGUUCCCCCCACAGCAUAGCUACUGUAUAUUCCUAACGUUAACAAUCCGGUUUUGUUCAUGUUUUUUUGCAGAUAACCGGUUAUGCUCUGGCCAAGGUAUCUUCACCCAAGAGACCUACUGUUGGUCAAUCGUUUUGGUUUUAAAGAAGUUGCAUCGAUUCCAGAAAACCAGGAAAAUGUUGAGCCAUCUGUAGACUUCAGAGCUGAACCUGGUUUCUCCCCAGUAAUCCAGACUCCACUUCACAGAGCCAAGAGUUUGAGUACAAGUGAUAGAUAUUAUUUGUGACGUUUUUUGUCUUGGAAACUAUUGCUUCUAUUUAAGAUUAGGAAUUUUAUCCAUAAUCUGUUUUUCAUUAGGGAACAUGACUUUCUGGAUAAAAGGUGUCGAGGUGUGUUGUACAUAUCAUUAGCUUUGCACAGUUCAAUUAUUGUUUCAUUACUGAAUAUGCAAUCUCUGCAGUGAAAUUAAAGCUGUUAUGUUUGUUCCCCCAGCUCGUCAAGUACUAAGCUUUACACCACCAGCAGCAAAUCUACCCUGGAAGCAUAUGGGUGAAAACGCUGGAGGAGAAAGUCAUCGCUUUGUUAUUGGCCCUUGGACGCCCCUGGCAUCUCGUGUACAGCACAAAGUUUUCAGCUAUGAAGAUUUCCAGUGACUCCAGAAUGAAAACCAAGCUCUGAGGGAGGAGAACCAAGCCCUGAAGGAAUGCAAUGCACAAGCAGCUUCGGGUUGACAGCGGCUCACUUCAAGAGCAGGUGAAGCAAGUAGGGACAAUGUUGAAGACGUUUGCUCUCACUGGGCAAUCAGGUGCGUUACCUGAAAGGAGCAUCUGACCGUGAAGGGAGAAAAAGCCGCACAGCUGAGAAGGACCUACAACUGACCCCUUAAACCUAGGCUGACUACUGAAACCCCAGCAUCACUGACAACUGGAACACUUUCUUUAUCCUGCAGUCAGUAACAUCAAGAAGCCAGAAGUGCCAGACUACACUCACCAAAUCCACCCUGUUUUUUUUGUGUAUUUUAACUUUAGUAUUGGCUUAUUUUAUUCAUUCUUAACGAUUCUAUUAGUUAUUAAAUCCUAUUUCAUACCUGUUACUUGAUAUUGCACAUUAACUAGUACCAAAAUUCUGCUUUCAUUCCAUCACAGUGCUUAACUGUUAUUCUACUGUUAAAUAUAGCUUGUAAAUCCUUGUGCCACAGGUCAGCAAUGCCAUUAUUACGGUCUAUUCUACUCUAGAGCUUUACUCUAAAUUAUUACCACUUUUCCUAUUGUUAGAAAUGGCUUGAACAUGUGAUGUUAUACCUUGAUUUAUUUGGUAUCCUGCACAUUCUUUGGUACCAAAUAUCCUCAUUACUUGUUUAUGUUUACUGGUAAUUAUUUUCAUCCCAGAGCUGACCUCUUUAUAUUAUUAACAAUUAUUGUGUUAGUGUUAUAAUUUGCUUGUAUGGCUGUUUUCUUUUACCAAA
Esox lucius (northern pike) is the source of this 1699-nucleotide long non-coding RNA. The record is from Ensembl. Lineage: Eukaryota; Metazoa; Chordata; Actinopteri; Esociformes; Esocidae.